AAUUAGCUUAGCUUAGCACAGAGAAUGGGAACAUGGGAAAACAACUGGCCUAGCUCUGUCCAAACUCUGGUCUGGUCUGUCCAGUUGUUUACUUAAACGAUGGAACGAUGGAAUAGGUGGUUUGCCAGUUACUCCAAAUACGACGUAUAUGAGUGUUGGAGUGUACCAGUGACAGGCUACUAACGGUCGCAGGUGGAUAACAUUGUGAAAUGGUUUGGCACCAAGGCUACUGGCUGGUUAAGCUCGAGGCUCGGCUUCCCGCUGAGCUGCACUCUGAGAUUUCGAAACCAUGAAGGCACCAAACUAAAAAUGCAAAGACACCCACUGUUCUGUUCAAACACUUUCCACGAGCCUAAUGCAGUGGGCUUCAGUUAUUCAAACACAGUUUAACAGCAAGACGAGGGAGCUCACAGGUGAGAGCAACAGAGGAGAGCUGGAGGAGGGGAACCUUUGAGCUGCUCACAUGAUCUGAGGACUGAAGAGGGUUCCUGCUGGGAGUCCCCUGCAAACAUGUCGGCGUCUCUUCAAACGGGGACGCGGCAGACUUGAAUCCUCCGGGUCUUCACUAAAACACACAAACCACCACCAAGCAACCUGACCUGCAUCUGUGUGUGUGUGUGUGUGUGUGUGUGUGUGUACCUGAGGUAUUAACUUGUAAAGUGUUUUGAUGAUGGCGGGGGAGGAGGAUGUAAAUCUCUGUAAUCCUGCAGGGUCAAAAUGUCGAUCCACUACACACAGACUGAAUACUAAUAAGCGAAUUGAAACACCUGACACUGUGACAACAGAUGCAAGAAAUAACAAAAUAAAGUCAUAAAUAAAUAGACAUCUGUUGCAUUUCACCUGGCUCAGUGAGAGGAAGUUAAGUCUUCUUCUCUGUAGGUGAUUUCAAGCA
Molecule: long non-coding RNA, 892 nt
Organism: Epinephelus moara (kelp grouper)
Lineage: Eukaryota; Metazoa; Chordata; Actinopteri; Perciformes; Serranidae
Exons: 3
Source: RefSeq, a predicted model, not a curated record